This 821-nucleotide long non-coding RNA is filed under the name Rattus norvegicus (Norway rat). Its description in RNAcentral is "long non-coding RNA NONRATT027028". Lineage: Eukaryota; Metazoa; Chordata; Mammalia; Rodentia; Muridae. The record is from RNAcentral.
CGGGCCAUCCAGCGGAGUCUGGCUAUCAUCCGGCAGGCGAAGCAGAAGAAAGAGAAGAAAAGAGAGUACUGCAUGUAUUACAACCGUUUUGGCAGGUGUAACCGUGGCGAAUGCUGCCCCUACAUCCAUGACCCUGAGAAGGUGGCCGUGUGCACCAGAUUUGUCCGAGGCACGUGCAAGAAGACAGAUGGGUCCUGCCCUUUCUCUCAUCAUGUGUCCAAGGAAAAGAUGCCUGUGUGCUCCUACUUUCUGAAGGGGAUCUGCAGCAACAGCAACUGCCCCUACAGCCACGUGUAUGUGUCCCGCAAGGCCGAAGUCUGCGGUGACUUCCUCAAAGGCUAUUGCCCACUGGGUGCGAAGGGGUGUUUGUCCCCGUGGCACCCAGUGCCAGCUGCUUCAUCGUAACCAGAAGCGACAUGGCCGGCGGACAGCUGCACCUCCUAUCCCAGGGCCCAGUGAUGGAACCCCCAGAAGCAAGGCCUCAGCCGGCCAUGCACUCAGGAAGCCCACUACUACUCCGCGCCCUGCCAGACAGAUGUCCAGUGGUCUGGCUUCCAGAACGGAGGCCCCAGCCUCCCCUCCCCCCUCCCCAAGGGUAUUAGCCUCCACCUCUACCCUGUCUUCAAAGGCCACUGCUGCCUCCUCUCCUUCCUCUUCUCCCUCCACUGGUUCCUCCACCCCUUCCUUGGAUCAGGAAGAAGCUGUCUCUGGGACAGGCGGGGCAGGCUCAGGAACAGGCUCUGGCAGCCUCUGCAAGCUACCAUCCUUUAUCUCCCUGCAUUCCUCUCCAAGCCCAGGAGGCCAGACUGGGCCCCAGGCCC